Molecule: ribosomal RNA, 253 nt
Filed under: uncultured bacterium
Lineage: Bacteria
Description: partial 16S ribosomal RNA
Rfam family: Bacterial small subunit ribosomal RNA
Source: RNAcentral
UACGAAGGGGGCUAGCGUUGUUCGGAAUUACUGGGCGUAAAGCGUGCGCAGGCGGCUUCUCAAGUCAGGGGUGAAAGCCCGGGGCUCAACUCCGGAAUUGCCUUUGAAACGGGAUCGCUUGAGUCCGAGAGAGGAUGGCGGAAUUCCUAGUGUAGAGGUGAAAUUCGUAGAUAUUAGGAAGAACACCGGUGGCGAAGGCGGCCAUCUGGCUCGGUACUGACGCUCAGGCGCGAAAGCGUGGGGAGCAAACAGG